GCUAGGUAGUGCAGUUGGUAGCACUGUUGCCUUGCAGCAAGAAUGUCCUAAGUUCAACUCUCAGCCUAGGGUUUUUCUGCA
Non-coding RNA from Characodon lateralis, 81 nucleotides. Lineage: Eukaryota; Metazoa; Chordata; Actinopteri; Cyprinodontiformes; Goodeidae. The record is from the annotation of a GenBank genome assembly.